Hyla sarda is the source of this 804-nucleotide long non-coding RNA. RefSeq lists it as uncharacterized. Lineage: Eukaryota; Metazoa; Chordata; Amphibia; Anura; Hylidae. The transcript has 3 exons. The record is from RefSeq and is a predicted model, not a curated record.
UUUCAGUCACUACAACAUGUCAAUUUAGUUCACAGGUCUGUGUCAACCAGUGUCUUCAGUCAGUGUCUUUGGUCAGAGAUCGUUAAUUGGCAAGUGGUUAUAUUCAGGUAUGUUCUAGUGCUUUUGUUAGCUGGGGCCUCCUUUUUCUGUUCAUAGUUAGGAAUACUUUCUGUUACAGGUUGCAUUGUCUGGUCUUACUCGGUUCAAGAUUCCUAUAAGGUCCAGGUAUGCUCCGUUCUUUGGUUUCUUGGUGGUUUGUACAUAGUUAAUACGGACAUUUCUGCAUAGAUCCGGUUGUGUCCUGAACAAACACCAAGUUCCGGUCCUGCUCUCUCUCAUCCUUCUACCAUCUUAAGGUCAGGUACGUAAGUUAGGUAGGUUUAGCCUGGUGCUCUUUGUUGUAGCUUAUACCUGGUCUCUGUUUCAGCUUCUGACCCAGCGUUUUGGAGUGUCUGGGUUCUCAAGUAUCUUGUCUCAUCGGUUGUCAUUGCAUCGGGUCACCACUCAGCAUUUCUCUCAUUCUCUCUUUUCUUCUCGUCUAGUCAAGUCGGCCCUGAAGGGCAUCCAGAGAAAUGAGGUUCCCAACAUUCCGGUCUCUUGGUGGAGAUCCAUCUGCUUUGACUGGCCAUUCACUCAGAAUCGGCGCUGCCACUGCCGCAUCGAAAAACGGAAUUCCAGCUCACGUCAUAAAGAAAUUGGGGCGCUGGAAAUCGGGAUGUUACAUGCAAUACAUCCCUAACCCUCGUUCAGAGAUGGCUAGUGCUUUUGAAUCGUUGGUUUUGUAACUUUCUGUAAUAAACGUAC